GAAAUGCGAUAAGUAAUGUGCAUUGCAGAAUUCAGUGAAUCAUCGAAUCUUUGAACGCACAUUGCGCCCGCCAGUAUUCUGGCGGGCAUGCCUGUUCGAGCGUCAUUUCAACCAUCAAGCCCCCGGGCUUGUGUUGGGGACCUGCGGCUGCCGCAGGCCCCGAAAACCAGUGGCGGGCUCGCUGUCACACCGGGCGUAGUAGAUUUUUCGUCUCGCCCAGGGCGUGCUGCGGGUUCCGGCCGUUAAAAAGCCUCUCUUUUAACCCAAGGUUGACCUCGGAUCAGGUAGGAAGACCCGCUGAACUUAAGC
RNAcentral lists this unclassified non-coding RNA (309 nucleotides) under plant metagenome. RNAcentral describes it as "partial contains 5.8S ribosomal RNA, internal transcribed spacer 2, and large subunit ribosomal RNA". The stretch from base 1 to 105 matches the Rfam family "5.8S ribosomal RNA", at positions 50 to 154 of the family's 154-position model. The record is from RNAcentral.